GGAGUUAGCCGGUGCUUCUUCUGUGAGUGAUGUCCUUCCUGCCGGCUAUUAACCCGCAGGCCUUCUUCCUCACUGAAAGUGCUUUACAACCCGAAGGCCUUCUUCACACACGCGGCAUGGCUGGAUCAGGGUUGCCCCCAUUGUCCAAUAUUCCCCACUGCUGCCUCCCGUAGGAGUCUGGGCCGUGUCUCAGUCCCAGUGUGGCUGAUCAUCCUCUCAGACCAGCUACGGAUCGUCGCCUUGGUGAGCCGUUACCUCACCAACCAGCUAAUCCGACAUAGGCUCAUCCGAUAGCGCGAGGCCCGAAGGUCCCCCGCUUUCCCCCGUAGGGCGUAUGCGGUAUUAGCCUGGGUUUCCCCAGGUUAUCCCCCGACUACCGGGCAGAUUCCUAUGCAUUACUCACCCGUCCGCCGCUCGCCACCAGGGAGCAAGCUCCCCGUGCUGCCGCUCGACUUGCAUGUGUUAGGCCUGCCGCCAGCGUUCAAUCUGAGCANAAUACAACUACUGA
RNAcentral lists this ribosomal RNA (508 nucleotides) under uncultured bacterium. RNAcentral's name for it is "partial 16S ribosomal RNA". The record is from RNAcentral.